RNAcentral lists this ribosomal RNA (465 nucleotides) under uncultured bacterium. RNAcentral's name for it is "partial 16S ribosomal RNA". It matches the Rfam family "Bacterial small subunit ribosomal RNA", at positions 338 to 795 of the family's 1533-position model. The record is from RNAcentral.
CCUACGGGGGGCAGCAGUAGGGAAUCUUCCACAAUGGGCGAAAGCCUGAUGGAGCAACGCCGCGUGGGUGAAGAAGGUCUUCGGAUCGUAAAACCCUGUUGUUAGAGAAGAAAGUGCGUGAGAGUAACUGUUCACGUUUCGACGGUAUCUAACCAGAAAGCCACGGCUAACUACGUGCCAGCAGCCGCGGUAAUACGUAGGUGGCAAGAGUUAUCCGGAUUUAUUGGGCGUAAAGGGAACGCAGGCGGUCUGUUAAGUCAGAUGUGAAAGCCUUCGGCUUAACCGGAGUAGUGCAUUGGAAACUGGGAGACGUGAGUGCAGAAGAGGAGAGUGGAACUCAAUGUGUAGCGGUGAAAUGCGUAGAUAUAUGGAAGAACACCAGUGGCGAAAGCGGCUCUCUGGUCUGUAACGGACGCUGAGGUUCGAAAGCGUGGGUAGCAAACAGGAUUAGAUACCCGUGUAGUC